Molecule: ribosomal RNA, 497 nt
Filed under: uncultured bacterium
Lineage: Bacteria
Description: partial 16S ribosomal RNA
Rfam family: Bacterial small subunit ribosomal RNA
Source: RNAcentral
GAUGAACGCUGGCGGCGUGCCUAAUACAUGCAAGUCGAGCGAACAGACGAGGAGCUUGCUCCUUUGACGUUAGCGGCGGACGGGUGAGUAACACGUGGGUAACCUACCUAUAAGACUGGGAUAACUUCGGGAAACCGGAGCUAAUACCGGAUAAUAUUUCGAACCGCAUGGCUCGAUAGUGAAAGAUGGCUUUGCUAUCACUUAUAGAUGGACCUGCGCCGUAUUAGCUAGUUGGUAAGGUAACGGCUUACCAAGGCAACGAUACGUAGCCGACCUGAGAGGGUGAUCGGCCACACUGGAACUGAGACACGGUCCAGACUCCUACGGGAGGCAGCAGUAGGGAAUCUUCCGCAAUGGGCGAAAGCCUGACGGAGCAACGCCGCGUGAGUGAUGAAGGUCUUCGGAUCGUAAAACUCUGUUAUUAGGGAAGAAUAAACGUGUAAGUAACUGUGCACGUCUUGACGGUACCUAAUCAGAAAGCCACGGCUAACUACGUG